This 30-nucleotide small RNA is filed under the name Bombyx mori (domestic silkworm). RNAcentral's name for it is "piRNA piR-bmo-1777065". The record is from RNAcentral. Lineage: Eukaryota; Metazoa; Arthropoda; Insecta; Lepidoptera; Bombycidae.
UCACUGACUAUGUGCACGUUUUGUGUGCGU